GAUCCUGGCUCAGGACGAACGCUGGCGGCGUGCCUAAUACAUGCAAGUAGAACGCUGAAGGAAGGAGCUUGCUCUUUCCGGAUGAGUUGCGAACGGGUGAGUAACGCGUAGGUAACCUGCCUGGUAGCGGGGGAUAACUAUUGGAAACGAUAGCUAAUACCGCAUAACAGUAGAUAUCGUAUGAUAUGUGCUUGAAAGGUGCAAUUGCAUCACUACCAGAUGG
Molecule: ribosomal RNA, 223 nt
Filed under: uncultured bacterium
Lineage: Bacteria
Description: partial 16S ribosomal RNA
Rfam family: Bacterial small subunit ribosomal RNA
Source: RNAcentral